GGCACAUUUUAUUAAGUUGUGCUUAAGGCACAUUUUAUGAAAGUGCCAACCACCCUAAAUAGGAAAGUUUGGACUGUAGUGAUUGGCUGAGAACUACUCCAUUUCCUUUUCUUUCUUUCACACUUCUUUUUCUUAUUCCCUGGUGCCUUACUCCCAGCGCAGGAUAUCAGCAGCAGCAACAUUGUGUCAACUAUUAGCAAGUUUUCUUCUCCUCCUCUCUCGCUCCUUGCAUUUUUCCUCUUAGUGCACCUUGCUGUUUUCCUCCCUACGCAUCCUAUAAGCAAUAACAAGCCAGCAGGAGUGAUUACAGCAAAUCUAUAGCAGCUUAAUUGGAGGCCAAAUUGACCUAAUUUGUACCUUUGCAUUGCUCAAUUGGAGCUUGCUCGAGCUAUGGAUGAUGGAGAAGAGCUUGGGGAUUGGUUUCUUGCUACUAGAUUAGAGUUCUUGUGCAAACGGCGCGGCAACACCAUCAAUCUGCUAGUAGCAGCAGCAUGCUGCCAGCAGCAACGGUAGCAGGGUAGUAGCCAAUUGGAGGCUCCAAUUUCGAAAUGAAAGUUGUUUAGAAUAAGGGAGGGACUAGUGGAGUUCAGUCUACAGCUCUUUCUAGCUGGAAUUGUAGCUUCAAGUUACUGUUAUGAGUUCCUGAGGGUGCUCUUGUGGAGGAGAUGAACUUGUGGACUAAUCCUUUCUACCGAAUUUCAGGUCAGUUGACUCAAAAUUGAUGUAGUUCUGCUCCUUGAGCUGAAAUUGAGUGUUUAGAUGGAUUUUAGUUAUUCUUCAUUGUUCGAUUCUUGUAGCUAAGCGUUGAAUGGAUCUUGGUUGACUUCUUCU
Long non-coding RNA from Ananas comosus (pineapple), 831 nucleotides. RefSeq lists it as uncharacterized. The transcript is spliced from 3 exons. Lineage: Eukaryota; Viridiplantae; Streptophyta; Magnoliopsida; Poales; Bromeliaceae. The record is from RefSeq and is a predicted model, not a curated record.